Molecule: ribosomal RNA, 178 nt
Filed under: uncultured bacterium
Lineage: Bacteria
Description: partial 16S ribosomal RNA
Rfam family: Bacterial small subunit ribosomal RNA
Source: RNAcentral
GCUGGAGUUACUAGUAAUCGCAGAUCAGAAUGCUGCGGUGAAUGCGUUCCCGGGUCUUGUACACACCGCCCGUCACACCACGGAAGUUGGGGGCGCCCGAAGCCACUUAGCUAACCCUUUUGGGAAGCGAGUGUCGAAGGUGAAAUCAAUAACUGGGGUGAAGUCGUAACAAGGUAAC